CAGCACGGGAGCUUGCUCCUGGUGGCGAGUGGCGGACGGGUGAGUAAUGCGUGGGAAUCUGCCUUAUGGCUGGGGACAACCAGUGGAAACGCUGGCUAAUACCGAAUACCGUCUACGGACGAAAGCGGGGGAUCUUCGGACCUCGCACCAUAAGAUGAGCCCACGUCUGAUUAGCUAGUUGGUGAGGUAAAUGCUUACCAAGGCGACGAUCAGUAUCCGGCCUGAGAGGGUGGACGGACACACUGGGACUGAGACACGGCCCAGACUCCUACGGGAGGCAGCAGUGGGGAAUAUUGGACAAUGGGCGCAAGCCUGAUCCAGCAAUGCCGCGUGUGUGAAGAAGGCCUUCGGGUUGUAAAGCACUUUUUGUUAGGGAGGAAAGUGGAGUAGCUAAUAACUGCGAGAUAUGAC
RNAcentral lists this ribosomal RNA (411 nucleotides) under uncultured bacterium. RNAcentral's name for it is "bacterial SSU rRNA". It matches the Rfam family "Bacterial small subunit ribosomal RNA", at positions 67 to 478 of the family's 1533-position model. The record is from RNAcentral.